RNAcentral lists this ribosomal RNA (776 nucleotides) under uncultured bacterium. Its description in RNAcentral is "bacterial SSU rRNA". It matches the Rfam family "Bacterial small subunit ribosomal RNA", at positions 667 to 1455 of the family's 1533-position model. The record is from RNAcentral.
UGUAGCAUGUAGCGGUGAAAUGCAUAGAUAUGCUACAGAACACCGAUCGCGAAGGCAGCUCACUAAACCAACACUGACGCUCAGGCACGAAAGCGUGGGUAGCGAACAGGAUUAGAUACCCUGGUAGUCCACGCCGUAAACGAUGAUUACUCGUUGUUGGCGAUACACAGUCAGUGACUAAGCGAAAGCGAUAAGUAAUCCACCUGGGGAGUACGUUCGCAAGAAUGAAACUCAAAGGAAUUGACGGGGGCCCGCACAAGCGGUGGAGCAUGUGGUUUAAUUCGAUGAUACGCGAGGAACCUUACCUGGGCUCAAAUGUAAGUUGACGUAACGGGAAACCGUUAUUUCUUCGGACAAUUUACAAGGUGCUGCAUGGUUGUCGUCAGCUCGUGCCGUGAGGUGUCGGGUUAAGUCCCAUAACGAGCGCAACCCCUAUCAUUAGUUGCCAUCAGGUAAAGCUGGGGACUCUAAUGAAACUGCCUACGCAAGUAGAGAGGAAGGUGGGGAUGACGUCAAAUCAGCACGGCCCUUACGUCCAGGGCUACACACGUGCUACAAUGGCCGGUACAGAGGGCAGCCACCUGGUGACAGGGAGCGAAUCUCGAAAGCCGGUCUCAGUUCGGAUCGAAGUCUGCAACCCGACUUCGUGAAGCUGGAAUCGCUAGUAAUCGCGCAUCAGCCAUGGCGCGGUGAAUACGUUCCCGGGCCUUGUACACACCGCCCGUCAAGCCAUGGAAGCUGGGGGGUACCUGAAGUCGGUAACCGUAAAGGAGCUG